This is a long non-coding RNA of Xenopus laevis (African clawed frog), 1321 nucleotides long. RefSeq lists it as uncharacterized. The transcript is spliced from 6 exons. NCBI's taxonomy places the organism in Eukaryota, Metazoa, Chordata, Amphibia, Anura, Pipidae. The record is from RefSeq and is a predicted model, not a curated record.
UACAGGGGAAAGGGUUACCCAGUUUGUCCAGUUACAGAACUCGUAUUUAUUAUCUGAUACAGCCAGGCGUAAAACGUCUUACACAGCUGGUACUUUGUUGUAAACACCAAACUGCGAUUAUUGCUAUACAGUACUUUUGGGUUUGCUAUUAGUUACUGGUAAACGUGUGUCUUGUCUUCAGGCAUUGCCUAGGACACCUGUGAGGCUCAGUGUGAGGACCCCUGCUUACUUCCUGUUUGCGCUGAGCAUUGGUUUGUGUCGGGAGAGUGUUUUGCAGCGCUGGGGCUGAAACCUUUCUGACUUACACCGUCCCGCCUUCUGCCAAUGGGGACUCUAAUGAAGACCCGGGAGAGGAUGUUACUCUCCUGUCAGUCAGUUUUGAGGACACAGAAGCCACCCAGGUUUUAACCAAGCUGUUCCUGUCUCCACGAAUUGAGCAUGCCCUCGGUGCUCUUCAGCGCUUCACAUCUCUGUGUUUCCAAGUGGGAGUUGCCUUAUUGAUUAUGUCCCUCAGGUCUGCCAACAAGGGGGUCGUAGAAUAUGAUGCUGAAGGAUUCACCAAGCUGACUCUGUUGCUGAGUUGGAAAGACUUCUGCUUCCUGGUGCACAAAUAUGAAACUGCCCCUGACCUCUAAAUGCACUGGAACAGAUGCUCUGACUGAUUUGCCACUUGCUUGCGGCUAAAGUCAGGCCUGUGGGAACCUCUGUGGGACAUCAGGUGCUUCUACUGUGUCCAUCACAACCUCCAUAACUAUAUCUUCUAUUGAGACAAAGAAAACGUGUCCUAAUCAUAUCCAGUAGGAAUCAAUGAGAAUGAGCGAUUAUGACUUAAUGGUACAAAAACCGGCCAAGGCUACACGGAGCCGUCCCUGACAUCACCAUAGGAUUUCUGUGUAGAACAUGGAAGCUCCUGCUCCCUGGCGUCUCCAGUUGUUAUUUUCCUGGGCCUAUUUCCGAAGCUUUGUUCCUCAGUUCCAGGAAGCUCUAAUGGAAAACUCUAGACUGGUGUAAGAUGCCAAUGUCACUGGCAUGUAAUAGACUGGCAGUGCCCUGUGAAUGAUGGUGGCAAAGCACUGUAUCAAGUGCCCUAUCAGCUCUGCGUAUGGGAGAAACAAUUGUGCCACAUGGUUCCACAAUCCUGAUUAUUAUGAUCUUCUCACCCAAGAAAGCUAUUGGAAAGAAGCUUGUGAGCAUUGCUUUGAUGGAUCCCUUCUACUGUAGUAUUGGCGGCACAAUGAGCCCUAGAGAGUUUAAUUUUGGGUUGUGGAGAUAUGAAGUGUUCUUCUUUUAAAUCAUCAAAAUAAAAAUAUGUUCCUACAUA